This 449-nucleotide ribosomal RNA is filed under the name uncultured bacterium. Its description in RNAcentral is "bacterial SSU rRNA". It matches the Rfam family "Bacterial small subunit ribosomal RNA", at positions 29 to 524 of the family's 1533-position model. The record is from RNAcentral.
AACGAACGCUGGCGGCAUGCCUAACACAUGCAAGUCGAACGAGACCUUCGGGUCUAGUGGCGCACGGGUGCGUAACGCGUGGGAAUCUGCCCUUCGGUUCGGAAUAACUCAGGGAAACUUGAGCUAAUACCGGAUAAUGACGUAAGUCCAAAGAUUUAUCGCCGAAGGAUGAGCCCGCGUAGGAUUAGCUUGUUGGUGGGGUAAUGGCCCACCAAGGCGACGAUCCUUAGCUGGUCUGAGAGGAUGAUCAGCCACACUGGGACUGAGACACGGCCCAGACUCCUACGGGAGGCAGCAGUGGGGAAUAUUGGACAAUGGGCGAAAGCCUGAUCCAGCAAUGCCGCGUGAGUGAUGAAGGCCUUAGGUUGUAAAGCUCUUUUACCCGGGAUGAUGAUGACAGUACCGGGAGAAUAAGCUCCGGCUAACUCCGUGCCAGCAGCCGCGGUAAU